Ostrea edulis (European flat oyster) is the source of this 2179-nucleotide long non-coding RNA. RefSeq lists it as uncharacterized. The transcript has 2 exons. NCBI's taxonomy places the organism in Eukaryota, Metazoa, Mollusca, Bivalvia, Ostreida, Ostreidae. The record is from RefSeq and is a predicted model, not a curated record.
UCACUCAAAUAGAGACAUCAACACUUGCCUGAGUCCCCACAUACACAGGGUGGCAGUAACUUGUUUAUGUGUUUGGAAAACGCGAUAUGUAUAUUACAUAUUUAAAGUUCAUUUACAUUUUGUUAAUAGUAACUUACAGCAGUACAAAAAUUUUAAAGCUUUAUCUCUUCAAUGUUGUAGACUAUAUUCAGAGGGAAUGCAGAUACUGAGGCACCCUAGCUCAUCUAGGAAGUCGGGAAGAAAAAAGCGAGCCAAUGUUCAGUGCCACACUUGGACCACUGCAGAAAAGGCAGCUUUGUAAAGACAAUUUGAGACUUUCAUCAAACUAGGAAAAACUCUGGCUCAGGUUGACUGUCUAAAAUCCAUUUGGAAGUAGAAAUCGCUGUCCAGUUUAACAUGGUGUUGUGGAAAGUUUGCUGUUAAAAAUAUUACUUCCUGGCAGAGGUGUUACAAAGAGUUAAUCCAAUUUUUAUGCCCCCUCCAUUUGAACGAGAGGGGACGUAUAUAUUGUUUUACAUGACUAAUUCGGUCUGUAGAGCAAAUCUUGUCUGCUCAAUAUCUAAUGAAUUCUUUUGCUUGACUGUUUCCAAACUUGGUACAAUGAUUGCCCCUAGAUAGUGAAUGAACCAUAUUAAUUUACAGGUCACAGGGUCAAGGGUCAAACUGGACACAGUAAGAUAAUGUCUGUUCAAUAUCUUGAGAACGCUUUCCUGACAGACAUCAAACUCGGUAUACUGGUUUCUUUUAAGAAGUAGGUGGUUUCUUUUAAGAAGUAGAUGGUUUCCUUUAAGAAGUAUAUGUCCCAUAAUGUCCCAUAUUCAUUUUGAAGUCACAAGGACAAAGGUCAAACUGUAGUACAUAAUAAAAUAUUGUCCACUGAAUAUUUAAAGAACCAACCCUUUACCUGACAGUUACUAAACUUGGUACAGUGGUUGCCCCUAGAGAGUAGAUGACCCCUACUGAUUUCCAGAUCCCAAGGUUGAAGGUAAAAUUGGACAUAGUAAGAUACCGUCUGUUCAAUAUUUGAGAACCAUUCGCUUGACAUACAUCAAACUUGGUUCACUAAUUUUCCUUAAGAAUUAGAUACCCCAUGGAUUUUGAGGUCACAAGGUCAAGGGUCAAACUGGACAUGACAAGAUAUUGUCUGCUCAAUAUAUUGAGGACUCUUUGCUUGACAGAUAUCAAAUCAGGUACACUGAUUCUACCUAAGGAGUAGAUGACUCCAUUUGAUUUUGAAGUCACAAGGUCAAUGGUCAAAAUACUACGGACAUAGGUAUUGUCUACACAGUAUCUUGAGUUUGCGUUUCUUGACAGACAUCAAACUUGGUACACUGACACAUCAUAAGUGUAGAUAUCUAGUAUUCAUUUUAAGGUCAAUGGUCAAACUACUCUGGACAUCAGAUUUUGUCCAUUCAGUAUCUUGAGAACCCAUGUUUGACAAACAUCAAACUUGGUAGUCUGGUGCCGCCUAAAGAAUAGAUGGCUCCCAUUGGUUUUAAACUCUCAAGGUCAAAGGUCAGGACUCAAAUAACUGAUUAUUUGAAAAUAUCUGCUCAGUACCUUUAGAGAUCACAUAUAAUGGUUGCCUCUGACUAAUAGAUACAUUGUAACUUUUGCUACAGACAUUCUAAAUGAUCAUUUUCAAUAUUGUAAUAUGGAGGGCAUAUAUGUUUCUUAAAUCUUUCUUGUAAAUGGUUUUGAUACUAGUUUUAUAUACAAGAUGUAUUAUCAGCAUUUGUCAUUCAUUGUACACCAUACAUUGGUUCAUUCAAAAUUGAUAAAUAUAUAAUCAACAGCAGUACACAUGAAAUAAUUCUCCAUCUAUAUCUUGAAUUGAACAAAAAGUUUAAUGGUAUUCCAAGGCCUUAUAUUCAUGUGCGAUUGAAAGACUGAAUGAAUAUACUAAGAUAAUAUAACAGUAUUUAACUAAAACUAAUUGCAGUUUAACACUAAUGUACUUAUAAUGUAAUUGAUAGUACCACGCUCUUACUUGUAACUUGUUUUCAUUUAUAUUCAAUAGAUAUUUCAAGUUUGAUAGCUAACUCAAAUUUCAAAUAUGAAUGAACAUUAAGUGUCUGCUGUUUUAAGACUAAAGAGUAGCUUUAUUUACAUCAUAUGAGGUUUUUUGAGCUAAAUUGAUCAGCUUUGUAUGCUUAUGAAAUAAAUAUGUACACCUAUA